UGCCCAGCAACUCCUAUCCCUACCUCCUCGUGGUACUGGCCGGGGUACGAGUAACCUUGGGGAAGAUCGGGUAACCAACCCUCGGUGGGAACUUUGGUCGUAUGCUGACAGGGAAGG
Molecule: non-coding RNA, 117 nt
Organism: Aedes aegypti (yellow fever mosquito)
Lineage: Eukaryota; Metazoa; Arthropoda; Insecta; Diptera; Culicidae
Source: Rfam